AAGAUUUUAAGUUAAAUAAAACUAAAAGCCUUCAAAGCUUAAAAUAAAACCCUUUUAAAUCUUA
RNAcentral lists this transfer RNA (64 nucleotides) under Potamiscus motuoensis. RNAcentral's name for it is "tRNA-Trp". The record is from RNAcentral. Lineage: Eukaryota; Metazoa; Arthropoda; Malacostraca; Decapoda; Potamidae.